Molecule: non-coding RNA, 189 nt
Filed under: Granulicatella sp. WM01
Lineage: Bacteria; Bacillati; Bacillota; Bacilli; Lactobacillales; Carnobacteriaceae
Also listed under: 1 other name
Description: 6S / SsrS RNA
Rfam family: 6S / SsrS RNA
About the family: E. coli 6S RNA was the first non coding RNA to be sequenced, but its function was unknown until recently. It consists of 184 nucleotides that fold into an extended hairpin structure with a large single-stranded internal bulge. The 6S RNA specifically associates with RNA polymerase holoenzyme containing the sigma70 specificity factor.
Source: Rfam by way of RNAcentral
AGAUUUCUGAGGUGUUCGUGGUACUUUAUAUGUGUUGACCUUACGUUUAUUUUUUGAUUAGGGAUUCUAAUUGUACUAUGUGCUAACAUGCCCUUUCACUUGGUAGUUAAAUAGCAUAGGCUAAGAAACCCACCUGUUUUCUAACAGGUUCAAGACUAAAAAGUACAUUAACGGCAUUGCGGAUUUCUU